This 244-nucleotide ribosomal RNA is filed under the name uncultured bacterium. RNAcentral's name for it is "partial 16S ribosomal RNA". It matches the Rfam family "Bacterial small subunit ribosomal RNA", at positions 16 to 240 of the family's 1533-position model. The record is from RNAcentral.
AUCCUGGCUCAGGACGAACGCUGGCGGCGUGCCUAACACAUGCAAGUCGAACGGAACUGUUUUGAAAGAUUUCUUCGGAAUGAAUUUGAUUUAGUUUAGUGGCAGACGGGUGAGUAACGCGUGAGUAACCUGCCUUCAAGAGGGGGAUAACACUCUGAAAAGAAUGCUAAUACCGCAUGAUAUAUCGGAACCACAUGGUUUUGAUAUCAAAGAUUUUAUCGCUUGAAGAUGGACUCGCGUCCGA